Molecule: long non-coding RNA, 461 nt
Filed under: Homo sapiens (human)
Lineage: Eukaryota; Metazoa; Chordata; Mammalia; Primates; Hominidae
Description: HSALNT0216810
Source: RNAcentral
AUCAAUAAAAAAAUAAAUUAAAAAAAAAAAAAAAAAAAAAAAAAAAGAAUGGACUUUCCCAGGCCAGCUGUGGUGGCUCACGACUGUAAUCCCAGCACUGUGGCAGGCCAAGGCGGGCAGAUCACCUGAGAUCAGGAGUUCAAGACCAGCCUGACCAACACGGAGAAACCCCGUCUCUACUAAAAAUAAAAAAAAAUAGCUGGGCGUGGUGGUGCAUGCCUGUAAUCCCAGCUACUUGGGAGGCUGAGGCAGGAGAAUUGCUUGAACCCAGGAGGCAGAGGUUGUUGUGAGCUGAGAUUGCACCAUUGCACUCCAGCCUGGGCAACAAGAGGGAAACUCCAUAAAAAAAAAAAAAAAAAAAGGACUUUCUCAAAGAAAAUGUAUUUAAAUGUCUGCACCAAUAAUUCCAGCAUGUGUAUGAAUAAAUAUGAUAUGUCCUUUACUAAAAAAAAAAAAACAAA